CAGUCGCCGCGGGAAUACGAAGGGUGCAAGCGUUACUCGGAAUUACUGGGCGUAAAGCGUGCGUAGGUGGUGGUUUAAGUCCGUUGUGAAAGCCCUGGGCUCAACCUGGGAAUUGCAGUGGAUACUGGGUCACUAGAGUGUGGUAGAGGAUAGUGGAAUUUCCGGUGUAGCAGUGAAAUGCGUAGAGAUCGGAAGGAACAUCUGUGGCGAAGGCGGCUAACUGGUCCAUAACUGACGCUGAGGUGCGAAAGCGUGGGGAGCAAACAGGAUUAGAUACCCCCGUAGUCCCUGUCUCUUAUAC
This 301-nucleotide ribosomal RNA is filed under the name uncultured bacterium. RNAcentral's name for it is "partial 16S ribosomal RNA". It matches the Rfam family "Bacterial small subunit ribosomal RNA", at positions 509 to 807 of the family's 1533-position model. The record is from RNAcentral.